GAAAUGCGAUAAGUAAUGUGAAUUGCAGAAUUCAGUGAAUCAUCGAAUCUUUGAACGCACAUUGCGCCCGCCAGUAUUCUGGCGGGCAUGCCUGUCCGAGCGUCAUUUCAACCAUCAAGCCCCCGGGCUUGUGUUGGGGACCUGCGGCUGCCCGCAGGCCCUGAAAACCAUUGGCGGGCUCGCUGUCACACCGAGCGUAGUAGCAAUCACCUCGCUCAGGGCGUGCUGCGGGUUCCGGCCGUUAAACAGCCUUACAAAACCCAAGGUUGACCUCGGAUCAGGUAGGAAGACCCGCUGAACUUAAGC
Molecule: unclassified non-coding RNA, 306 nt
Filed under: plant metagenome
Description: partial contains 5.8S ribosomal RNA, internal transcribed spacer 2, and large subunit ribosomal RNA
Rfam family: 5.8S ribosomal RNA (bases 1-105)
Source: RNAcentral